CAGACUCCCAAGCACCUGCCCAUCCCACUCCAUAGCCCAGCCACCCACUCUCAUGUACCAUAUGGCCAUCCCAGUAAGCAAGCCAACCACUAGAAUUUGACUGGCAUGCACCUGUGACUUACAUAAACCAGACCUCUACAUAGCCUACAUGUCUUCAUUUUGCUGAAGACUGCCCAUCAUCCUAGCCUGUUAUCUGUGAUAAAGCACACUGAAGUUAGGUUUGGAAUGCAUCCUUAUCAUGAAUGCUCUACACCUCCACCUCCAUCUCCCACAACCUAGGUAACAGCUUUGAGACUCACUAAAAGUUGGUAAGUUAUGUAAGGAAUUUCUAAAUUAAGUUUUAUACUACAUGUUAUAUGUGAUAUUAAACCACUGUAUGGUGCAUAUUACUGUAUGUAACUUACUAUGCAUAGAGUACUUACUGACAAAAUUAUUUUUUGUACAUUCCAGAACCCCCUGAAUGAUGUAGGCUAUGGGGCCACAUAAGACUUUGUCCAUCCAGGGUUACAUUGAACGACAACUUUAAACUAAAAAACCAACAUUUUUCACACAACUCCAGGUUGUUACUAACAAAUUACUACUACAAGUGUCAUCAAGGGAUAACUACAAGUAGAAGCACCAUUUUUGGAUGGAAAAAACCCUUCAGGAAAGUAUACGUAUCACAUGUAACAUGUAGUGUAACAAAGUAUGAACAGUAAGGUUUUUACAUACAGUAGUACUACAUAUUACAUACGUACAUAACUUUUUUUUACAGGAAUUUCCAACCAAGUUUGAUUAUGUACAUACAUGUUAUAAACCACUGUACGUAUGGUUACUGUAUGUAACUUACUAAACAUACAUAACAUGACUUAACUUUGAUACUUUUUUGGUACAUUCCAGAAAACCAGGACCCCCUCCAUGAUGCAGGCUAUGGGGCCACAUAAAACUUUGUCCAGGGUUACUAGUACAUAACAUAGCACGACAACUGUAAACUAUGUACUACUGUACUAAAGGUAAGGAAUUAUACAUAGUAGUAAACAUACAUUAAGUAAGUUUUAUACGUACAUACUAAAAAAAAGUGACCAAGAUCUCUCACAUGGGAUAAGUGAUCAAGGUCCCUCAUGGAAUUACAUACUGUACACUCCCUGCUGAACAGGGGGUGUAGACCAAUC
Molecule: long non-coding RNA, 1151 nt
Organism: Macrobrachium nipponense
Lineage: Eukaryota; Metazoa; Arthropoda; Malacostraca; Decapoda; Palaemonidae
Exons: 4
Source: RefSeq, a predicted model, not a curated record